RNAcentral lists this ribosomal RNA (492 nucleotides) under uncultured bacterium. RNAcentral's name for it is "bacterial SSU rRNA". It matches the Rfam family "Bacterial small subunit ribosomal RNA", at positions 355 to 857 of the family's 1533-position model. The record is from RNAcentral.
UGGGGAAUUUUGCGCAAUGGGCGAAAGCCUGACGCAGCAACGCCGCGUGAGGGAUGACGGCCUUCGGUUGUAAACCUCUUUCGGCAGGGAAGAAGCCGCAAGGUGACGGUACCUGCAUAAGAAGCCCCGGCUAACUGCGUGCCAGCAGCCGCGGUAAUACGUAGGGGGCGAGCGUUGUCCGGAGUUACUGGGCGUAAAGAGCGCGUAGGCGGUCUGCCAAGUCUGAUGUGAAACUCCUCGGCUCAACCGGGGGCCUGCAUUGGAUACUGGCAGACUAGAGUGCAGUAGGGGAGAGUGGAAUUCCUGGUGUAGCGGUGAAAUGCGCAGAGAUCAGGAGGAACACCGGUGGCGAAGGCGGCUCUCUGGGCUGCAACUGACGCUGAGGCGCGAAAGCUAGGGGAGCAAACAGGAUUAGGAUACCCUGGUAGUCCUAGCCGUAAACGUUGGGCACUAGGUGUGCUCGGUUUUCUGCCGGGUGUGCCGAAGCUAACG